AACGCGAAGAACCUUACCCAGGUUUGACAUGCAGAGGAAGUGGGCAGAGAUGUCCACGCCCUUCGGGGCCUCUGCACAGGUGCUGCAUGGCUGUCGUCAGCUCGUGCCGUGAGGUGUUGGGUUAAGUCCCGCAACGAGCGCAACCCUUAUCGUUAGUUGCCAACAGGUGAAGCUGGGAACUCUAGCGAGACUGCCUGGGUUAACCAGGAGGAAGGUGAGGAUGACGUCAAGUCCGCAUGGCCCUUAUGUCUGGGGCUACACACGUGCUACAAUGGCCGGUACAGAAGGAAGCGAAACCGCGAGGUGGAGCAAAUCCUAAAAAGCCGGCCCCAGUUCAGAUUGUAGUCUGCAACUCGACUACAUGAAGACGGAAUUGCUAGUAAUGGCGAGUCAGCAACAUCGCCGUGAAUACGUUCCCGGGCCUUGUA
RNAcentral lists this ribosomal RNA (428 nucleotides) under uncultured Chlamydiae bacterium. Its description in RNAcentral is "bacterial SSU rRNA". It matches the Rfam family "Bacterial small subunit ribosomal RNA", at positions 958 to 1385 of the family's 1533-position model. The record is from RNAcentral. Lineage: Bacteria; Pseudomonadati; Chlamydiota; Chlamydiia.